RNAcentral lists this ribosomal RNA (497 nucleotides) under uncultured bacterium. Its description in RNAcentral is "partial 16S ribosomal RNA". It matches the Rfam family "Bacterial small subunit ribosomal RNA", at positions 28 to 507 of the family's 1533-position model. The record is from RNAcentral.
GACGAACGCUGGCGGCGUGCCUAAUACAUGCAAGUAGAACGCUGAAGAGAGGAGCUUGCUCUUCUUGGAUGAGUUGCGAACGGGUGAGUAACGUGUAGGUAACCUGCCUUGUAGCGGGGGAUAACUAUUGGAAACGAUAGCUAAUACCGCAUAACAAUGGAUGACACAUGUCAUUUAUUUGAAAGGGGCAAUUGCUCCACUACAAGAUGGACCUGCGUUGUAUUAGCUAGUAGGUGAGGUAAUGGCUCACCUAGGCGACGAUACAUAGCCGACCUGAGAGGGUGAUCGGCCACACUGGGACUGAGACACGGCCCAGACUCCUACGGGAGGCAGCAGUAGGGAAUCUUCGGCAAUGGGGGCAACCCUGACCGAGCAACGCCGCGUGAGUGAAGAAGGGUUUCGGAUCGUAAAGCUCUGUUGUAAGUCAAGAACGGGUGUGAGAGUGGAAAGUUCACACUGUGACGGUAGCUUACCAGAAAGGGACGGCUAACUACGUG